GGGAGCUAGGAGAAGGGGGAGCAUACUUAACGUAUACAUUGUUUACUGAGAUAGAAAAAGCCUAGCAUAACCAGGCGCCUUAAAAAUCAUCUUGAAAUACAUUUCGUUUAGCAUGAGUAUUUCUAAAUAUCAAAAGGGAAAGAUUGUUAUGACAAAAAUCGUAAGGGAAAGAUUGUUAAGACAAAAAUCGUAUAGAGAGUAGAUUGACCAAGCAACCUAAGUUUUGAAGUUUAACAAAUAACAUAAAAGGAAAUAUUACUAUUGUGUAAGAAAAGCUAUUUAAAUUAGUAGCAUCUAAUGAACAAGCAUUUUAUAACGUUUAAAGCCAAGAGCUGAAGUAAUGCUUUCUAGACGAAAGGAGAAAGCUUU
RNAcentral lists this long non-coding RNA (369 nucleotides) under Vigna radiata. RNAcentral's name for it is "long non-coding RNA (VRAD_LNC005992)". Lineage: Eukaryota; Viridiplantae; Streptophyta; Magnoliopsida; Fabales; Fabaceae. The record is from RNAcentral.